Gadus morhua (Atlantic cod) is the source of this 1054-nucleotide long non-coding RNA. RefSeq lists it as uncharacterized. The transcript has 3 exons. The record is from RefSeq and is a predicted model, not a curated record. Lineage: Eukaryota; Metazoa; Chordata; Actinopteri; Gadiformes; Gadidae.
GUGACUAUAGAACGGUGUGGUCACGUGUAUGGAAGAAAUGGCGCGUUCGCAUUGCUGGACAUUAUGGGGAAAACAUUUUGGCGACGUUGGAAUGUGCGCGUGAACGACACCUCAUGACGCUGUUAUGAUUCUGCUUCCGUUCAGCAACUCGGGCCAAAUUUUGAGGUGCGUUCACUCUCCUGGUGAUAACGAGACGGCUCGCCAGUGAUGACGCUCACGCUUAAAAGGCCUGAAGGCCUAAAUACACCGGCGCCGCAGCGCAGCGGUGCGCAUUUUACGCGCGUCAAAAGCCGCCCCUAGCACCAACAGGAGGAGGCGCGACGGCCGCGCUGCAGUAUAAAAGCAGGAAGUCACCUGUCAAUCAACCGCAACAAAGAGACGAAACGCAAUGAGGCAGGGAUGGGCAACUUUCAUGAUAAAGAGGGCCACAUUUUUUAUCAUAACCAUCGGAGGGCCACAUGACUGCACACUUCAACUAAACAACAAUUGUUGCGGGUGGUUUCCCUUCUUCUGCUGCGCCGUAAGCGGGCAAGGAGAAGACGAAGGGUUUGGGUGCACCCCAUCAAUGAACGGAGACAAGAACAGGGGGUAUACCACAAUCUGGUCCAGGAGCUCCGUGCAGAGGCACCGCCAAUAUUUCAAUUCGCCACUAGGAAGUGUGCAAUGGCAGAACCGUAUGGUGUAACCUAUAGCCAUGAUGACCUAUAAUUUAGUUAUAUCACUCUCUGGUAUACUCUUUUGCAUAUAUAUAUAUAUAUAUAUAUAUAUAUAUAUAUAUAUAUAUAUAUACGCAUAUAUUUUAUCCCUCUGGAUAAAUACAGUGAUGUUAUUGCUGUGCUGGACUCAGUAGCCAGUCUAUUUUAUUUGAGUGCUCGAGACACUUAAUGUUAUUUUUCCUUAAACCCAGAGAGACAGUUAAUACAUGACAAGGCAUUAACUUUGCCUGUGUUUCCUUUUACUUAGCCUAUCUAUUUUAUUGUAUUGUAUAUUUAUUGUAUUUCUAUGUGAAGCACUUUGAGUCUGCUUCAUGUAUUAAAAGUGCUAUAUAAAUGAA